This 253-nucleotide ribosomal RNA is filed under the name uncultured bacterium. RNAcentral describes it as "partial 16S ribosomal RNA". It matches the Rfam family "Bacterial small subunit ribosomal RNA", at positions 524 to 776 of the family's 1533-position model. The record is from RNAcentral.
UACAGAGGUGGCAAGCGUUGUUCGGAUUUAUUGGGCCUAAAGCAUCCGUAGCCGGUUCUACAAGUCUUCCGUUAAAUCCACCUGCUUAACAGAUGGGCUGCGGAAGAUACUAUAGAGCUAGGAGGCGGGAGAGGCAAGCGGUACUCGAUGGGUAGGGGUAAAAUCCGUUGAUCCAUUGAAGACCACCAGUGGCGAAGGCGGCUUGCCAGAACGCGCUCGACGGUGAGGGAUGAAAGCUGGGGGAGCAAACCGG